UAUGUUUAAGUGUAAGAUGCACAAAAAUUUUUGAUAUUUUAGGAGCAGUUUAAUUCUGUAAAACAUAA
This 68-nucleotide transfer RNA is filed under the name Anotogaster sieboldii. Its description in RNAcentral is "tRNA-Gln". Lineage: Eukaryota; Metazoa; Arthropoda; Insecta; Odonata; Cordulegastridae. The record is from RNAcentral.